Long non-coding RNA from Mauremys mutica (yellowpond turtle), 401 nucleotides. RefSeq lists it as uncharacterized. The transcript has 3 exons. The record is from RefSeq and is a predicted model, not a curated record. Lineage: Eukaryota; Metazoa; Chordata; Testudines; Geoemydidae.
AAGUGGUGGGGGAGGCACAUACGUGCUUGGGAGCUCUCUCCCCCGGCACCCACAUGGAGGAGACACCAAGGGGACUUCCGGCCAGGAGAUGGACAUCUGAGGUGGACCUCACUCACCUGAACAGCUGCUGGGGCUUCGGAGCCAGAGAUGGAAGUGAUCUAGCCCUGGUUCAGAAAGAUGACCUCCCGCCAGGCCUCUCUAUGCAGCCCAGAGAAUUCCCCCACCCACAUACUGCAGUGGAGUCCCCCCCAGGGAUGUAAGGCUCUUUGGGAUCUCAGAAACAUGGGCGCUGGUGUUGAGGCAGUGCUCAGACAGCCAUGACUGGCCCCCAUAUGAACUAAAUAAAUUGGCGGAGGAGAUUGUAUACAUGUGUGUUUGUGUCCUUGGUGUUUUACUGGGCC